CAGAAAAUUAGUUUAAUUAAAACAUUAGUUUUGGGGACUAAAAAUCUUUGAUCAAGAUUUCUGA
RNAcentral lists this transfer RNA (64 nucleotides) under Columbicola macrourae. RNAcentral's name for it is "tRNA-Pro". The record is from RNAcentral. Lineage: Eukaryota; Metazoa; Arthropoda; Insecta; Psocodea; Philopteridae.